RNAcentral lists this ribosomal RNA (274 nucleotides) under uncultured bacterium. Its description in RNAcentral is "partial 16S ribosomal RNA". It matches the Rfam family "Bacterial small subunit ribosomal RNA", at positions 523 to 796 of the family's 1533-position model. The record is from RNAcentral.
AUACAUAGGCUCCAAGCGUUGUUCGGAAUUACUGGGCGUAAAGCGAGUGUAGGCGGCCUGUCAAGUCGAUUGUGAAAUCUCCCGGCUCAACUGGGAGGGUGCGGUCGAAACUGGCAGGCUAGAGUUCGGGAGAGGAGAGUGGAAUUCCUGGUGUAGCGGUGAAAUGCGUAGAUAUCAGGAGGAACACCGGAGGUGAAGACGGCUCUCUGGACCGAUACUGACGCUGAGACUCGAAAGCGUGGGGAGCAAACAGGAUUAGAAACCCCUGUAGUCC